GGAGGGGUGGCAGAGCGGUUGAUUGCGACGGUCUUGAAAACCGUUAGAGCGAGAGCUCUCGGGGGUUCGAAUCCCUCCCCCUCCG
This is a transfer RNA of 85 nucleotides. It matches the Rfam family "tRNA". Rfam says of the family: Transfer RNA (tRNA) molecules are approximately 80 nucleotides in length. Their secondary structure includes four short double-helical elements and three loops (D, anti-codon, and T loops).